RNAcentral lists this ribosomal RNA (264 nucleotides) under uncultured bacterium. RNAcentral's name for it is "partial 16S ribosomal RNA". It matches the Rfam family "Bacterial small subunit ribosomal RNA", at positions 793 to 1055 of the family's 1533-position model. The record is from RNAcentral.
GUCCACGCUGUAAACGAUGAGAACUAGAUGUUGGUAGGCCUGACCUAUUAGUAUCGAAGCUAACGCGAUAAGUUCUCCGCCUGGGGAGUACGACCGCAAGGUUAAAACUCAAAGGAAUUGACGGGGGCCCCGCACAAGCGGUGGAGCAUGUGGUUUAAUUCGAUGCAACGCGAAGAACCUUACCUACCCUUGACAUCCUAGGAAUCCUGCAGAGAUGCGGGAGUGCCGCAAGGAACCUAGAGACAGGUGCUGCAUGGCUGUAGU